RNAcentral lists this long non-coding RNA (270 nucleotides) under Brassica napus (rape). RNAcentral describes it as "long non-coding RNA (BNAP_LNC003288)". The record is from RNAcentral. Lineage: Eukaryota; Viridiplantae; Streptophyta; Magnoliopsida; Brassicales; Brassicaceae.
UGUGGCUGAUCACAACAAACUCUUAACGUCCUAAACUCGUAGAGAUGACUCUCGUUCAUCCGACACAAGGAUAAUAGCGCUAUAAAAGAAACCCAAAUUUUUUGGUCAGCACUUCCAAGAGGCUUAAAAAUUGUCCUUGGAGAGAUGCUCGGUUCCAACCAUACAAGUCGUAUAAGCCAAGAACCUAUCGCAGACUUUAAUUCGGUAUGGAAUCAGGAUGAAACUGAAAUGGGAUACAUACGUCGAAUUAGUCAUCGCACCCUCUAAAAC